This 74-nucleotide transfer RNA is filed under the name Marmota monax (woodchuck). Its description in RNAcentral is "tRNA.Ala". It matches the Rfam family "tRNA". Rfam says of the family: Transfer RNA (tRNA) molecules are approximately 80 nucleotides in length. Their secondary structure includes four short double-helical elements and three loops (D, anti-codon, and T loops). The record is from RNAcentral. Lineage: Eukaryota; Metazoa; Chordata; Mammalia; Rodentia; Sciuridae.
GCUGGGAUUGGGGCUCAGUGGUAGAGCACGCGCCUAGCAUGUGCGAGGCCUUGGGUUCGAUCCUCAGCCCCACA